Molecule: ribosomal RNA, 484 nt
Filed under: uncultured bacterium
Lineage: Bacteria
Description: partial 16S ribosomal RNA
Rfam family: Bacterial small subunit ribosomal RNA
Source: RNAcentral
AUUGAACGCUGGCGGCAGGCCUAACACAUGCAAGUCGAGCGGAUGAAGGGAGCUUGCUCCUGGAUUCAGCGGCGGACGGGUGAGUAAUGCCUAGGAAUCUGCCUGGUAGUGGGGGAUAACGUCCGGAAACGGGCGCUAAUACCGCAUACGUCCUGAGGGAGAAAGUGGGGGAUCUUCGGACCUCACGCUAUCAGAUGGGCCUAGGUCGGAUUAGCUAGUUGGUGGGGUAAAGGCCUACCAAGGCGACGAUCCGUAACUGGUCUGAGAGGAUGAUCAGUCACACUGGAACUGAGACACGGUCCAGACUCCUACGGGAGGCAGCAGUGGGGAAUAUUGGACAAUGGGCGAAAGCCUGAUCCAGCCAUGCCGCGUGUGUGAAGAAGAUCUUCGGAUUGUAAAGCACUUUAAGUUGGGAGGAAGGGCAGUAAGUUAAUACCUUGCUGUUUUGACGUUACCAACAGAAUAAGCACCGGCUAACUUCGUG